GCGAUUGUGGUGUAACGGCAGCAUGGAAGCCUGUGGAGCUUUCGGACCGAGUUCAACUCUCGGCGUUCGCC
RNAcentral lists this transfer RNA (71 nucleotides) under Candidatus Woesearchaeota archaeon. RNAcentral's name for it is "tRNA-His". It matches the Rfam family "tRNA". From Rfam's summary of the family: Transfer RNA (tRNA) molecules are approximately 80 nucleotides in length. The record is from RNAcentral. Lineage: Archaea; Nanobdellati; Candidatus Woesearchaeota.